CGCCUACGGUAAUGGGGGUCAUCCUGCUCCUGGGCACCUGCCUGGUAGUGCCCCCUCCACUGGAGACCCAGACCUUUUGUGCCUGCAGGGAUUGGGGAGUGGCCUUGGCCCCGGCCUGGGGCUCUGUGCAGGGGAAACCCCACAGGAAACGGGCCUGGCCAAAUGGCCGCCCUUCCCGUUUCGUCCCUGGGACACGAAUGUGCUGUCUCACUUCCGGAGGCGGCCCAGGGAGGCUGGCCGCCCUGCGGGGCCUCGUCUGCUCCCGGUUGGUGCCCCUAGACCUUGAGGAGUCAGGGCUGGGCUGGGGCCCCGCCGUAAAGUGGGUGGCCAGCGUAUGUAAUGUGUGUAUGGCGGGGUCGGCGCAGAACAGGACCCCUCCCUCCACCUGUCUCCCGGGGGUGGCCACCCCCUAUCAUAUCUGGGUGCCGAGGUCCUACCCACGUGCAGUUCCUGAAUGCCAUCCUCCUUCCUGUUUCUGCCUGGGGAAUGAUGACAGCGUAGCCCCUUCCCAAUUAUACACAGCACUCAACGAGUUCCUCACCACAGCAUUGCCCCUGCUUUGCCAAUGGGGAAACGGAGGCCCAGAGAGGUUGAGUUCCCUGCCCAGUGUCGCCCAGCUGGUGCGCUGCAAAGCCAGGGUUCAAAUGCAACUGGACUGGCUCCAGAGUUCAGGGCUCCUAGCCACAGGGCUCUCAUCCUCCGGGAGGUCUCUGUUUACUGAACACAGGGCUGGCUUCACCGGCUGGUGACCUGUGCGGUUCACAGGGUGUUUCCCCACUGAGAAGGACCCCGAGAUUUCAUUUUUUUUUUCCCCACCUGAGUAUUCAUUUUGCACUGAGUCCCAUAAAUUCUGUAGGGAGUCCUGGUGCUGGGUAGUUGCUACAUACUGUUGGUGAAACCUCACUGUAUUACGUGGUAGAGGCUCUUGGUGCCACUGUACAGAUGGAGAGACUGAGGCUUGGAUGGUAUCUUGGAAACCAUGGAGCUGGGAUUUGCACCUGGAGCCUGGGUCUGGUGCUCUGGGUGGGUGCGUGCCUAAAAAAAAGGGGCGCCCCCUGGCGGCGUCCGCUCUGGUGGGGCGCAGGCUGAGGCCUGGCCGCUGAGGAGACAG
This 1111-nucleotide long non-coding RNA is filed under the name Bos mutus (wild yak). RNAcentral's name for it is "lncRNA (ENSBMUG00000000422.1)". Lineage: Eukaryota; Metazoa; Chordata; Mammalia; Artiodactyla; Bovidae. The record is from RNAcentral.